AUUGAACGCUGGCGGCAUGCCUUACACAUGCAAGUCGAACGGCAGCACGGGAGCAAUCCUGGUGGCGAGUGGCGAACGGGUGAGUAAUAUAUCGGAACGUGCCCAGUCGUGGGGGAUAACGUAGCGAAAGCUACGCUAAUACCGCAUACGAUCUAUGGAUGAAAGCGGGGGAUCGCAAGACCUCGCGCGAUUGGAGCGGCCGAUAUCAGAUUAGGUAGUUGGUGAGGUAAAGGCUCACCAAGCCGACGAUCUGUAGCUGGUCUGAGAGGGCGACCAGCCACACUGGGACUGAGACACGGCCCAGACUCCUACGGGAGGCAGCAGUGGGGGAAUUUUUGGACAAUGGGCGGCAAGCCUGAUCCA
RNAcentral lists this ribosomal RNA (363 nucleotides) under uncultured bacterium. RNAcentral's name for it is "bacterial SSU rRNA". It matches the Rfam family "Bacterial small subunit ribosomal RNA", at positions 30 to 390 of the family's 1533-position model. The record is from RNAcentral.